AGUGAACGCUGGCGGCAGGCCUAACACAUGCCAGUCGAGCGGCAGCGCGGGGGCAACCCUGGCGGCGAGCGGCGGACGGGUGAGGAAUUCGUCGGAAUCUGCCUUUUUGUGGGGGAUAACGUAGGGAAACUUACGCUAAUACCGCAUACGUCCUACGGGAGAAAGUGGGGGACCGCAAGGCCUCACGCAGAAAGAUGAGCCGACGACCGAUUAACUAGUUGGUGGGGUAAAGGCCCACCAAGGCGACGAUCGGUAGCUGGUCUGAGAGGAUGAUCAGCCACACUGGGACUGAGACACGGCCCAGACUCCUACGGGAGGCAGCAGUGGGGAAUAUUGGACAAUGGGCGCAAGCCUGAUCCAGCCAUGCCGCGUGUGUGAAGAAGGCCUUCGGGUUGUAAAGCACUUUUGUCCGGAAAGAAAUCCCUGGAGCUAAUACCUUCGGGGGAUGACGGUACCGGAAGAAUAAGCACCGGCUAACUUCGUG
This 484-nucleotide ribosomal RNA is filed under the name uncultured bacterium. RNAcentral's name for it is "partial 16S ribosomal RNA". It matches the Rfam family "Bacterial small subunit ribosomal RNA", at positions 29 to 507 of the family's 1533-position model. The record is from RNAcentral.